Molecule: long non-coding RNA, 220 nt
Filed under: Capsicum annuum
Lineage: Eukaryota; Viridiplantae; Streptophyta; Magnoliopsida; Solanales; Solanaceae
Description: long non-coding RNA (CANN_LNC009534)
Source: RNAcentral
GCCAAUUCAUUCUCCAAGAUAUAUAGUCGAGCUUCAUUUUUCUUGUUGAAUAACUGAUUGAGGGUCCUCCAUAUUUCAUGGGUUGAUUUUCACCUUAUAAUAUGAUCGAAUAAACUGGAUAAGAUGGAUCUCUUCAAGAUAAACUCCGUUUUUGCAUUAAUCUGCUUCCACUUUUAUAUGCACCAUCAUUUUUCGAUUCAUCAAUAGGAGGACUUGUAUU